UACGGGGGGAGCAAGCGUUGUUCGGAUUUACUGGGCGUAAAGGGCGCGUAGGCGGUCAGCACAAGUCAGUUGUGAAAUCUCCGGGCUUAACUCGGAAAGGUCAACUGAUACUGUGCGACUAGAGUGCAGAAGGGGCAACUGGAAUUCUCGGUGUAGCGGUGAAAUGCGUAGAUAUCAGGAGGAACACCGGUGGCGAAGGCGGGUCUCUGGGCCGAUACUGACGCUGAGGAGCGAAAGCGUGGGGAGCGAACAGG
RNAcentral lists this ribosomal RNA (254 nucleotides) under uncultured bacterium. RNAcentral's name for it is "partial 16S ribosomal RNA". It matches the Rfam family "Bacterial small subunit ribosomal RNA", at positions 524 to 776 of the family's 1533-position model. The record is from RNAcentral.